RNAcentral lists this unclassified non-coding RNA (214 nucleotides) under Hevea brasiliensis (rubber tree). The record is from RNAcentral. Lineage: Eukaryota; Viridiplantae; Streptophyta; Magnoliopsida; Malpighiales; Euphorbiaceae.
GGGGAUUGUAGUAUCAGUUGGAGCUAUGAUCAAGCAUAUAAAUGUUUGCUUUAGAAAUAGGAUAUUAUGUCCAUUGAUUUAGUUUACUCCUAAGUUAUAUCAGCUGUCUUUCUUUUUGUUCUCCAGUCCCUAGAAGCUUAACGUUUAUCUAUUUGUGGUCAUCGUUAGUUCAUUGGUAAAUGUUUUUAGCACCAAAAAAUUUAUCUUUCAUUUG